UGGGGAAUAUUGCACAAUGGAGGGAACUCUGAUGCAGCGACGCCGCGUGAACGAAGAAGGCUUUCGAGUCGUAAAGUUCUUUUAUAUGGGAAGAUAAUGACGGUACCAUAAGAAAAAGCCCCGGCUAACUAUGUGCCAGCAGCCGCGGUAAUACGUAGGGGGCUAGCGUUGUCCGGAAUCACUGGGCGUAAAGGGUUCGCAGGCGGAAAUGCAAGUCAGGUGUAAAAGGCAGUAGCUUAACUACUGUAAGCAUUUGAAACUGCAUAUCUUGAGAAGAGUAGAGGUAAGUGGAAUUUUUAGUGUAGCGGUGAAAUGCGUAGAUAUUAAAAAGAAUACCGGUGGCGAAGGCGACUUACUGGGCUCAUUCUGACGCUGAGGAACGAAAGCGUGGGUAGCAAACAGG
This 403-nucleotide ribosomal RNA is filed under the name Bacteroidota bacterium. Its description in RNAcentral is "Bacteroidetes bacterium partial 16S ribosomal RNA". It matches the Rfam family "Bacterial small subunit ribosomal RNA", at positions 355 to 776 of the family's 1533-position model. The record is from RNAcentral. Lineage: Bacteria; Pseudomonadati; Bacteroidota.